RNAcentral lists this ribosomal RNA (465 nucleotides) under Vreelandella stevensii. Its description in RNAcentral is "partial 16S ribosomal RNA". It matches the Rfam family "Bacterial small subunit ribosomal RNA", at positions 338 to 795 of the family's 1533-position model. The record is from RNAcentral. Lineage: Bacteria; Pseudomonadati; Pseudomonadota; Gammaproteobacteria; Oceanospirillales; Halomonadaceae.
CCUACGGGUGGCAGCAGUGGGGAGUAUUGGACAAUGGGCGAAAGCCUGAUCCAGCCAUGCCGCGUGUGUGAAGAAGGCCUUCGGGUUGUAAAGCACUUUCAGUGGGGAAGAAAGCCUUGGGGCUAAUACCCUCGAGGAAGGACAUCACCCACAGAAGAAGCACCGGCUAACUCCGUGCCAGCAGCCGCGGUAAUACGGAGGGUGCGAGCGUUAAUCGGAAUUACUGGGCGUAAAGCGCGCGUAGGCGGUCUGAUAAGCCGGUUGUGAAAGCCCCGGGCUCAACCUGGGAACGGCAUCCGGAACUGUCAGGCUAGAGUGCAGGAGAGGAAGGUAGAAUUCCCGGUGUAGCGGUGAAAUGCGUAGAGAUCGGGAGGAAUACCAGUGGCGAAGGCGGCCUUCUGGACUGACACUGACGCUGAGGUGCGAAAGCGUGGGUAGCAAACAGGAUUAGAUACCCUAGUAGUC